GGGCUCACACAAGCGGUGGAGGAUGUGGCUCAAUUCGAGGCUACGCGAAGAACCUUAUCCUAGGCUUGACAUGCACGGAUUAACCCCGUGAAAGCGGGGCCACGCCCUCUGGGUGGAACGUGCACAGGUGCUGCAUGGCUGUCGUCAGCUCGUGUCGUGAGAUGUCGGGUUAAGUCCCUUAACGAGCGAAACCCUUGUCGCUAGUUGCCAGCGGGUCAUGCCGGGGACUCUAGCGAGACUGCCGGUGUUAAACCGGAGGAAGGUGGGGAUGACGUCAAGUCCUCAUGGCCCUUACGCCUAGGGCUGCACACGUCCUACAAUGGCGUGCACAAAGGGACGCAAACCCGCGAGGGCGAGCAAAUCCCAAAAAACACGCCCCAGUUCGGAUUGCAGGCUGCAACCCGCCUGCAUGAAGCCGGAAUCGCUAGUAAUCGCGGGUCAGCAUACCGCGGUGAAUGUGUUCCUGAGCCUU
Molecule: ribosomal RNA, 472 nt
Filed under: uncultured bacterium
Lineage: Bacteria
Description: bacterial SSU rRNA
Rfam family: Bacterial small subunit ribosomal RNA
Source: RNAcentral